CGUCUAUCUAUUUUCCAUUCUUGAAUAAUGGAAAAGAUCAUGGCCUAAUGAUUAUGUACAAAUUGAACCCCCUACAAGGACACUGAGGCUAACUAAAUUAGUGGGAGUAUUAUAAGCUCUAAGCAGCUACA
Hibiscus syriacus is the source of this 131-nucleotide long non-coding RNA. RefSeq lists it as uncharacterized. The record is from RefSeq and is a predicted model, not a curated record. Lineage: Eukaryota; Viridiplantae; Streptophyta; Magnoliopsida; Malvales; Malvaceae. The transcript is spliced from 3 exons.